UACGAAGGACCCGAGCGUUAUCCGGAUUUAUUGGGUUUAAAGGGUGCGUAGGCGGAUUAUUAAGUCAGUGGUGAAAGCCUUCAGCUUAACUGAAGAAUUGCCAUUGAUACUGAUGAUCUUGAGUAUGAUUGAGGUGGGCGGAAUGUGUCAUGUAGCGGUGAAAUGCUUAGAUAUGACACAGAACACCGAUUGCGAAGGCAGCUCACUAAGCCAUAACUGACGCUGAUGCACGAAAGCGUGGGGAGCAAACAGG
Molecule: ribosomal RNA, 253 nt
Filed under: uncultured bacterium
Lineage: Bacteria
Also listed under: 1 other name
Description: partial 16S ribosomal RNA
Rfam family: Bacterial small subunit ribosomal RNA
Source: RNAcentral